CAUGUGCGCGAUCGAUCGUCGUCACAGUUGAAUUUGCACGCCCUCAUCUGAAUCCCCCUUUUUGUUUUUCUGAUCUCUUCUCGGUUUCGUUUUUUGUGUUUUUUUUUUCGGCUAGGUGCGUGCGUGUGUGUCUGUGUUGUGUGCUGUGUAGUGGAGCGUGUGACUGCGUGAGACUCCAUUUCUCUCCCCCCCUCCCCCGCCCGCCCUGCCAUCCUCCUCACCACAAUCACCACACAGGCCCUCGGCUUCUUCCGGCACGUUCUCUCUCCAGCGUUCACCGCCUACCGCCUCUACCCUUUCUCACCCCUCACCCCCUCCUUAGCAUUCGGGCUCCAGCUCCUCACCACUCCUAUCAUUGCUUCAAACUCAGCUCUGCUCCCCCACCCCCAUCCCUACCCCCUUCUCUCCCCUCCUCUGCUUACCUCACAGCAUUUGACGUUCGGUGCUGUUGCUCGUGCUUGUCCGCCGGCUGAUUCACCUUCUCCGUCGGUCUCUGCGAUACCGCUGCUUGGGCCGCCAUUAUCUUCGUUUUCUUCCUUAAGUCCUGUUGUGGGGUGUGCGUUAUCAACGCACAGCCAACCUUGCCACAAGGGGGCGACCGUUGACACCAGGAGAGAGAGAGAACGACCUUCUCAUCUAUGGAAGAUAAGGCUUGACUCACUGCUCAGUCUAUGCAGCCGUCUUGAUUGUCUCUGACGUUGUUUUCUGUCUCGCUCUUUUUAUCUUUCCCCCAACUCAGAAAAGCAGAACGAACGUGCGCACGCCGCAGGAGAAGUUGAAGCAGUCCGUCUGCACUCAUCCGUUCGGCUGCGAAGGUGUCUUCCACGUUGCCGCGUUGGAGCACCCCACUGUUUUUUCUUCGUGUUUUUUUUUUGGUUCGUCGCGUUCCCCGACCCUCCUUGCGCCAUCAGAAGCUUGUCUUGGAACUCCCUCAAAGAGACCUCUUACACGACAGCGACCCCCUCCCUUCCUCCGUCGUAAAGUACUGACCGCGUGCUGCGGCGCACGUAAGACACAGCCAUCAUGACCACCAUCUCCCAGUACCUCAAUGAGCGGCUGAAGGACAAAAGCCCGACGCAGGUUAUUGCCAUCACGCUCAGCGGCGCCGUCGCGGUGCGCAUCGCGGUGGACUGCUUCCGCGAUGGCCGCUUGACGGCGCGCAGCUACCAAGCGGUGUGGCGCGGCAUCCGCACUCUAGCGGCCCCCAUAAUCCGCAAGGAGGUCAAGAAAGCGGUAAGUGGGGUGAAGAUGCCGUCGAAGGAAGGCGAGUUCAAAGCCCUCGUUCUGCCGGAAAAGUCCCGCUCUGAGGCGGAGGUGUUGCAGCUGGUCACCCAGCUUCACCACGACCUUGACCUCAGCUACGAAAAAGGUUUCUUCAGUGGAGCCGUCUACCACGGUGGCCGAUCGCACACCGCCUUCAUGAACGACGUUAUGGCCAUCUUCCAGUGGAGCAACCCGCUGCACAGCGACAUCUUCGGCGCGACGCGCAAGAUGGAGGCGGAGAUUGUGUCCAUGGUGCUGCACAUGUACAAUGGCCAUUUACUUCCGGACGCCGGAGGCGUCGUGACGUCCGGAGGGACGGAGAGCAUCAUGAUGGCCCUUAAGACGUACCGCGACUGGGGACGCGUGACACGCGGGAUCGAACACCCGUCGGUGGUGGCGCCCAUCACCAUUCACCCCGCGUUCGACAAGGGGGCAGAGUACUUUGGUAUUGAUCUCAUCAAGGUGCCGGUGCUGGCGACAACCGGCCGCGUGGAUCCAAAGGAGAUGGAGAAGUACAUCCGGUACGACACGAUCGCCGUCGCGGCGUCGGCGCCAAACUUUCCGCAUGGCGUCGUCGACCCCAUCGAGGAGAUUGCGGAGAUGGCCUACAAGCACAACAUCGGCAUGCACGUCGACUGCUGCCUGGGCGGCUUCAUCAUGCCCUUCCUCGAGAAGACUGGCCGUUCGGCGCCGGUCGUGGACUUCCGCAAUCGCGGUGUCACGUCGAUCUCGUGUGACACGCACAAGUACGGCUACGCACCUAAAGGGACGUCGACGGUCAUGUACCGCUCGAAGGAGCUGCGCAGCUUCCAGUUCUGCUGUGUUUCGGAGUGGCCAGGCGGCAUGUACUGCUCGCCUGCUGUGAGUGGGUCAAAGCCAGGCAACGUGAUUGCCGGCACGUGGGCGGCGAUGGUGCGUAUGGGUAUGGAGGGCUACAUCGAUUGCUGCCACAAAAUCGUCACAACACGCGAGACGAUGACGACGGAGUUGAGCAAGCUGCCCUACAUACGCAUCAUUGGUGAGCCGACCGCGAGCGUCUUCGCCUUUACGAGCAAUGUGAUCGACAUAUUCCGUCUCGGUGACGAUCUCAAGUUACGCGGCUGGGUACUGAACACCCUCCAGUUCCCAUCCGGCUUGCAGUUUAGUGUGACGCUGCUGCAGACGCCAACGGCAGUCACGGCGCGCUUCCUGAGCGACGUGAAGGAGAUAGGGGACACCCUCUUUGCCGAGAGCGAGAAGCUUAUCGCCGAUGGAAAGAAGCCCGUACUCGGGGAGUCGAGCGGCACGCUCUACGGCACGGCACAGCGCGUUCCUGAUCGCACGAUCAUCAAGGAUGUGCUUCGCGAGUUCCUGAACACUUACUACCAAGCUUGAUGUAUGUGGCAGGAACAUGUGUGAGUUUGCCGCACCAAUGGCAGGCGACAACGCUCUGGCGUGUCUAGCUCCGGCCUCUUCGCGCAUGCGCGGAGGCGUGCGGAGAGAGAAAUGGACAGCGAGGCACCCUUCAAGAGUGAGGGCGAUUCGUACCCCUGCGCAGCUUUUUUCCUCUCUUUCUGGGCAGGGACGCGAGUGUCGACGUCACUGAAGAAGGCGACCCAUUCCCUAUGGACACGGUCGGACUGUGUAGGUGGACAACCCCCCCCCCCACCCCCGACCGACCCCUCUCAUGCACACACAGGCACGCUAACGUCGCUUCCGCUGCCCGUUCCACGUUUUUGCCUGGAUGAUCCCUCCAUCGAUCAAACCCGUGCAAACGAAACGGAGGAAAAUGGUGCGCCUUGUCGUGCUCCCGCUUCUACGCCCCACCCCCACCCCCGGCCCCUCUGAGUCUCCGCGUGCGCGCGUGUGCCUCUGCGGGGUAUCGUUCCCUAUUUGCCCUUUUCCUUUGGUGCCUGCGGCGCUCAGCUUUGCGUGUCUUCUCGUACACUUUACCGCCGCCGCCCCCCCCCCCUCCUCCUCCUCCUCCUCCGCCGCCGCCCUCUCGCCCGUCUCUUUCUCCGUUUUCUUAACCGUUCAUAGUUUUAUCGUGUAGGCUUCGUUUUCUUUUUCUUUUUUUUUUCGUUGUUGUUCUGAGCACAAGUGCGCGCACAUCCACGCUGUACGGACUGAGGCACGUGCGCUGCAGGUGUCUGUGCGCGUGGAUCUCUUCGUCUUACCGUUUUCCACCCUCUUCCCUCAUUGCAUACAAAUGUGCGAUACCUUCCCCUCUUCCCCCCUCUCUGCCUCCC
RNAcentral lists this unclassified non-coding RNA (3491 nucleotides) under Leishmania donovani. RNAcentral describes it as "gene:LdHU3.30.3200(CDS-product:sphingosine_1-phos phate_lyase)". The record is from RNAcentral. Lineage: Eukaryota; Euglenozoa; Kinetoplastea; Trypanosomatida; Trypanosomatidae.